GCCGGGAUAGCACAGUUGGUAGUGCAGUCGAUUCGUAAUCGACAGGUCGAGGGUUCGAGUCCCUUUCCCGGCU
Molecule: transfer RNA, 73 nt
Filed under: Candidatus Nitrobium versatile
Lineage: Bacteria; Pseudomonadati; Nitrospirota; Nitrospiria; Nitrospirales; Nitrospiraceae
Description: tRNA-Thr
Rfam family: tRNA
About the family: Transfer RNA (tRNA) molecules are approximately 80 nucleotides in length. Their secondary structure includes four short double-helical elements and three loops (D, anti-codon, and T loops).
Source: RNAcentral